This is a long non-coding RNA of Canis lupus familiaris (dog), 1624 nucleotides long. RefSeq lists it as uncharacterized. The record is from RefSeq and is a predicted model, not a curated record. The transcript has 7 exons. Lineage: Eukaryota; Metazoa; Chordata; Mammalia; Carnivora; Canidae.
CUUGAGAUCAUGACCUAAGCUGAAAUCAAGAGCUGGAUGUUCAACCUCAUGAGCCAUGCAGACUUGAAGACUAAAAGUUCAAGAGAAGGCUGACCAGUGAGGUACCUUAGGAACCAAGAAACAACAUGGUGCCACCUGCAUGGAAAAAACUGCCUCCAGCCUGUCCCUGCUAGUAGAGGUCAAGUGAAGAGUCUAGCCUUCUGCCUUUGCUGAGAGGUUUCAAGAAGAAUGCACUCACCAGACCGACAGUAGCAUACCAAGUAGCACAUCUAGCACAGUAGCUGAGAUUGGGACUACUACUUGAUGAAGAUGAUCAUAGUUGAACAUCACCUGUGACAAUUCAUAUGGCUUUGCAGAGAUGGGACAGCACUGUACCAACUUGACCAUGGACACCAAGGCUUCAAUCUUGAGGUGAAUUUCAAAACAUUUAUCAAGAGAGAAGAGGUUUGGGUUUUCUUUUGCAGAACCAAAGAAGCAUGGAAUUAUCUUCUCUCCAGGGAUAGGCAGCCAUUUCUAGAUUCCACCAUCCUGCCUGAAGAAUGCUUCGUCACCUGUCAGUUUAAUUGUCCUAUGUUCACUUGAUAACACAAAAUGAAAGACUAAAGGGAAGGCGGUCUUGGCUCUUGAUUCUUCAAGAGAGGCCUUUCUGAACACCAUGCUCUAAUCCUGUCCAAGAGAGCCAAGGCCUAUGGAUUUAGAAGAGGACAGCUGUGGGCAGACACUGUGCUAGUGUUGGGAACAGGUCAACGGAUAAAGAAACAAGCCAGCACUGUGUUUCAAGACCCAGCUUUCUCAAGUUAGCUGCUUUCUGCAACUGCUUUUUGCAAUUUCAUCUUUGCUCUUUCUAUGUUUGGAGACAUUGCUUGCUAAAGUUCAAGGUCUAUUCAAUCAAAGAGCUUGAGGGGCUGGGUAUAGGGUUGAGAUGAAGAGUACUAAGUGGACCUUCCCCAGAUAGAUGAGAAAAUUAUGACUACCUUUUACAUAAGAAAUAUUCAUAUAUGAAAAAGCAGUAGCCCAAACCAAUGGGGAAAAGAAAGGUUAUGUAAUAUUUUGAUUAAGUAAGAAAUUACAAACCACCAAUCUGAGGGGAAAAAAUGGGCCAAACCUUAUUUUAUUCUCUGUUAUUUAUUUACUUCUCCUUCACUUGCAACUCUUCUAAACUGGGUGAUAUAUUAUAAUAAAUAAUUAUAUUAAGUAUAUUUAUAUAAUUAUAUUCAAUAUUUUAUAACUAUAAAGAAUGCAUUAGUUAAUUUACUAGUACAUGUAUAUAUAUACAACAUGUAAGUAAUAUGUAUGUUUUUAAAUCCCAAACCUACUAAAUAUAGAACUCUAAGGGUUUGUUCUCCUCUUUUUUGUUUAGGAAAAUAAAAUUCCACAGGUGAUUCUGUGUAUUUGUGGAAUAUGCCACAGAACAAACCCUAAGAAAGCUCCAAAUGGAUUAGAGUUAGCUAUAAAGCAAAACAAAAUCAUGGAAAACAAAUUUAAGUAGUUAUUAGAUAUCUGGUGGAGCAACAUUUUGAGUUAUGAAGUAAAAUAAAAACAAAAAUCAACUGAUCCAGUCAUACAAUUUUUAAACUUCCAAAGAAUGAAAAAUAGUACCAUGUAAAAUUUUUAUAAAAUUAUA